GCUUGCUUCUUUCAAAUCUAGUGGCAAACGGGUGAGUAACACGUAAACAACCUGCCUUCAGGAUGGGGACAACAGACGGAAACGACUGCUAAUACCGAAUACGUUCCUUAGGUCGCAUGACUUUAGGAAGAAAGGGUGGCCUCUACUUGUAAGCUAUCGCCUGAAGAGGGGUUUGCGUCUGAUUAGGUAGUUGGUGAGGUAACGGCCCACCAAGCCGACGAUCAGUAGCCGGUCUGAGAGGAUGAACGGCCACACUGGAACUGAGACACGGUCCAGACUCCUACGGGAGGCAGCAGUGGGGAAUCUUCCGCAAUGGGCGAAAGCCUGACGGAGCAACGCCGCGUGAGUGAUGACGGCCUUCGGGUUGUAAAGCUCUGUGAUCGGGGACGAACGGUCAGCAGACGAAUACUCUGCUGAAGUGACGGUACCCGAAUAGCAAGCCACGGCUAACUACGUGCCAGCAGCCGCGGUAAUACGUAGGUGGCAAGCGUUGUCCGGAAUUAUUGGGCGUAAAGCGCGCGCAGGCGGCUUCUUAAGUCCAUCUUAAAAGUGCAGGGCUUAACCCCGUGAUGGGAUGGAAACUGAGAGGCUGGAGUAUCGGAGAGGAAAGUGGAAUUCCUAGUGUAGCGGUGAAAUGCGUAGAGAUUAGGAAGAACACCGGUGGCGAAGGCGACUUUCUGGACGACAACUGACGCUGAGGCGCGAAAGCGUGGGGAGCAAACAGGAUUAGAUACCCUGGUAGUCCACGCCGUAAACGAUGGAUACUAGGUGUAGGAGGUAUCGACCCCUUCUGUGCCGGAGCUAACACAAUAAGUAUUCCGCCUGGGGGGUACGAUCG
This 838-nucleotide ribosomal RNA is filed under the name uncultured bacterium. RNAcentral's name for it is "bacterial SSU rRNA". It matches the Rfam family "Bacterial small subunit ribosomal RNA", at positions 78 to 888 of the family's 1533-position model. The record is from RNAcentral. RNAcentral also lists the same sequence under 1 other name.